This is a long non-coding RNA of Ictalurus punctatus (channel catfish), 1137 nucleotides long. The record is from Ensembl. Lineage: Eukaryota; Metazoa; Chordata; Actinopteri; Siluriformes; Ictaluridae.
UUUUUUUUUUUAUGGUGGAGAGUAUUGUAUAAGUCAAAAAUAACAAUAAUAUGAAAACAAAAUAAUAUAAAUUGCAAAAUGGCAACAUGUCUGAAAAGUCAUUUAGUAAAAUGAAUGUAAAUAAGUAAAAUAGCAAUUUUGUAAAAAAAACAAAAAAAAAACCCAACAACAAUUAAAAAAGGAAAUACUUGUUGCCAUAUGGCAACACAAUUCAUUAAAGGGUUAACUAUGACAGUAUUCUUCUUUAACCAUUAACAAUUGUUUAACUGGCUACACACAUUUCCACACAGACACAGUGGUUCGUUGGUUAUAUCACACUAUUCACAAUGAGCUCUGUGUUUGUAGAAAAGUUCAAGCCAGUGUGAGGUGACUUCAAUGAGUAACUUGAAAUUGAGUAAAUUACUGAGGAUGUAUUUAUAAAGUACUGAGGUUGUAUGUGUAAAGUACUGAGUUUGUAUAUGUAAAGUAUUGAGUUUGUAUUUGUAAAUUACUGAGGAUGUAUUUAUAAAGUACUGCGUUUGUAUUUGUAAAGUACUGAGGUUGUAUUUAUAAAGUACUGAGUUUGUAUUUGUAAAUUACUGAGGAUGUAUUUGUAAAGUACUGAGGUUGUAUGUGUACAGUACUGAGUUUGUAUUGAAAAGUACUGAGGUUGUAUUGGUAAAGUACCAAGGUUGUAUUUAUAAGAUAUUAUAGUUGUGUUUAUCACUGAUAAUGUAUUUUUUUAUAUACCAUGGCUGUGUUUAUCAGGUACUGAAGCUGUUUAUCGCUGUUAUUUUAUUUUUCAUGCAUUCUUUAUUUUCUUCAGCUUUGAAGUAGAAACAUCAACAUAAUUUCCCGCACUGGUUUAUUUGCCUUAAAGCCAGACUUUGUCAAACUAGGCAGUAUAGCACUUGGUCGUGGUUUAGGUGGGGCCAUGGUUUAGAGUGGAUCUACACAGGGAGGAAGGUGUUUGGGGAUGAGUUAGAGUAAUGACUAACAUGGCACACCUGAGUCCUAUUGCACCUCUCUCUCUCUCAGGGCAUGAACACAAAUACAAACCUGCUCUAUGUACUCUAGUAUUUUGACUUUAAGUGAUACUUCAUCCAUAAAACUAUGUUAACCAUGCACUUGUUGUGUAUGCAAAUAGUGAUUUUAAAG